RNAcentral lists this ribosomal RNA (26 nucleotides) under Enterocytozoon bieneusi. Its description in RNAcentral is "partial large subunit ribosomal RNA". The record is from RNAcentral. Lineage: Eukaryota; Fungi; Microsporidia; Enterocytozoonidae.
CAGUAGGGGUGCCAUCAAGAGGUGUA